UGACCUCAGAUGUUGAACUCCCUCUAGUGGAGAAUUAAAAAAUGGGUAAAUAUUUUUCAGACUGAUUGAUUGGUCUGGCUGGGGUCCCUACAGUAUGCUUGAUCUUUCAGCAAUGAUCUUUCAGCAAGACAACAGAGAGGAGGCUUGAUGAGGUUGACUGACACAAGGGUGUGUUCAAAGGAGGAGAUCAGAUCCUCUUUCUGAACACUCCAGCUACAGUCCUUCUCCUCCUGUCUGCUCAUCAAAGCCAAACAAGCCUUGGAGAGAGAGAGAAGGAUUCAAAGAGAAUACUUGUUCCAGAGGAUUCAGAGGAAGAAUUUGAGCAAAAAAGAAGUUGCCCAACACUACAAACUUCAUAUACUUUUUGGAGGACAGAAGGGGAGGAGAAAGGUUGAAUCAAGCUGCUUUAGUCACUCUGUCCUUGUCAAAUGAGCCAGAAUAUCAUACUAUAUUUGCCUAGUUAAAUCCACUGGCUAUUUUACAUAGCUUUUACAUUAAUCUCGGCAACCAGAACCAUAUCAG
Molecule: long non-coding RNA, 522 nt
Organism: Oncorhynchus tshawytscha (Chinook salmon)
Lineage: Eukaryota; Metazoa; Chordata; Actinopteri; Salmoniformes; Salmonidae
Source: Ensembl